GCUUUGAAAUGGUCAAGGCCAUUCAAGCGACCAUUACAUUGGUCAGCCGCAAUAACAUGCUUAGGCGAAUACAUUAAGAGGUUCACAGUAAGUGAGUAAUAAAGUGAAAGCUGAAGGUGAC
Molecule: non-coding RNA, 121 nt
Filed under: Vibrio paracholerae
Lineage: Bacteria; Pseudomonadati; Pseudomonadota; Gammaproteobacteria; Vibrionales; Vibrionaceae
Description: RT-10 RNA
Rfam family: Bacteriophage Diversity-Generating Retroelement RNA
Source: RNAcentral